Molecule: ribosomal RNA, 375 nt
Filed under: uncultured bacterium
Lineage: Bacteria
Description: bacterial SSU rRNA
Rfam family: Bacterial small subunit ribosomal RNA
Source: RNAcentral
GACGAACGCUGGCGGCGUGCUUAACACAUGCAAGUCGAGCGGUAAGGCCCCUUCGGGGUACGACGAGCGGCGAACGGGUGAGUAACACGUGGGUAACCUGCCCUCAGCUCUGGGAUAAGCCUGGGAAACUGGGUCUAAUACCGGAUAUGACUCCAUGACGCAUGUCGUGGGGUGGAAAGCCUUGUGCGGCUGGGGAUGGGCCCGCGGCCUAUCAGCUUGUUGGUGGGGUGANGGCCUACCAAGGCGACGACGGGUAGCCGGCCUGAGAGGGCGACCGGCCACACUGGGACUGAGACACGGCCCAGACUCCUACGGGAGGCAGCAGUGGGGAAUCUUGCGCAAUGGGCGAAAGCCUGACGCAGCGACGCCGCGUGA